This is an RNA transcript of Mercenaria mercenaria, 2001 nucleotides long. RefSeq lists it as uncharacterized. The record is from RefSeq and is a predicted model, not a curated record. The transcript is spliced from 12 exons. NCBI's taxonomy places the organism in Eukaryota, Metazoa, Mollusca, Bivalvia, Venerida, Veneridae.
AAUCAUGAAUGAUCCCACAACACGUUUCCUUUUACACACCGAAAUGUCCGAGACAUCCCGAUUGGACGUCACUUCACUUGUGACGUCAUGUAAUGCAAACAUAGCAACGUCUUGGCGACGGAUUUAUUACAGAGCUUUUGAUGAAAUUGCAAAACAAUGACUAAUUUUAUGGAUCGCAUCCAAACUUCGAUACAUGCAUUGCGGAGUAAAUAUCGCAGCACAGAUCUUUGUGGAAAACUCAAGAAAUAUACGUGUGGUGCGGCUGGUGCCUUCAGUUGUUGCAGUGAUGGUGGUAUUGUGGACAUUGGUCCUUUUCCUUUCACAUAUGGCCGUAAAAACCAGUUCGAUAUGUCCGGAUCAUACGCCGGAAAUCAAUGUACAAGUAUGGCCCUGACCGCCAUCAUUCAGCACAAGAUAUAUUCAGAGUUUACACCCAGAACAAUCAACAAAAUCUUGAAAGAAGGCAACAAACUCCACACUAGACUCAGAGAAGAUAUCGUCCUGAGUAAUAAUUCGGAUAACAGAGUGGCGGUUGAAGAUUUCCCACACGAGGAUUACAUUGACAUAGGAAAGGUAUUUGGAAGGAAUACCCAUGUUAGAAUGAGGGAACCUUGUCGAGAUGUCUUUACAACUGGAAGAGAUGAUUUUGUUGAUUUUUUAACCAUAAGGGAGUACUUAGAGAGUUGGUACACAUGCCUGAGAAAAAUGGGAUUUCUCCUCACCAUACAUGCGUUUUCAUACGCCAUUCUCAUCAACAAAAAUGGAGUAGUCAUGUUUGACUCUCAUGGCCACUUAAAACAUAAAGGAGAAGCUAUAAAGUCAAAGGCCGGGGCAAUAAUGUUUCCAUCAGCUGCGGAACUGGAGGAGUUUUUAGUUGGCAUGUACGGUGUGGGGAGACACGCCGUCAUUGCCCCGGUCUGCGUCUCCUUUAAAGAGAAGGCCACUCGACCAAAUAAAGUGGAGAGAAAGAAGAAGAGCUUAAAAGAAGUAUUGUACCAGCCCCUACUUUUGACGGCUCGAAAUGUAAAGAACAAAAAAGUGCACGUCGAGGCUAACAAUUACGAGUAUGAUGAAUCACCAUUUGUGGGAAUGUUCGGAGGCGGGAACUAGAGGAAAAACGUAAUAAAAUCAUUAAAGCCGAUUUAAAUUGUUACACAACCCAGCGAUGCGAUGCAACGACCCGAUAAUUCCAAUCUUACACAAUUGAAAUAAUCACCACGUUGUUCCCGGGGCAAUGUUCACACUCAUUCUACUUCGCACGUGAUUUUCGUGACAAGUAUUGAUAUAAUUGUCGCUAACAUGGAUUUUUCACAGAGGGAUACGUCUAAAACAGCAGUGCAGGACUGGAAUAGACUGAAAGACAAUAUCGCAUGCGCUGAAACAGUAGAGAGCUUUAAAACAGCUCUCACACAUCGUUACUGAACACACUUAUCCCGACGAAUUUUACCAGAAGUGGUCCUGCGUCGUACAGUGUCGUAUACCUACAGAUAGAUAGAUACAGAUGUUUGAAAAAGAAGUUCGAUAUUUUCUACAAAAUAGAAAGUGGACAGUCGAAGUACAUGUGUUGUAUGACAAAAUACAUGUUACCGAACAAGGUCGUGUCUUUGCGACAAGGAUCAAGACCAUACAUACAGAACAUUGACGAUGGUGUGUUCAGAUUAGGAGCAUAAACGGUUGUCAUAGCGGCAAAGAUUAAGACCCAUACAUGAUAACGUGAACUGAUGUGUUUUCAUAUCUGGAGCAUUAAGGAUUACCAUGAAAACUUACAUCUACAUCAAAGCAAUGGUAUAAAUGGAUGACAGACGUUCGAAUGUACAAAGUUAUACAGUAGAUUUUGGAGCAUAUAAGCUAUGUUGGCUUAUGUUGACUGUACAAGCGCGUGUGAUGAUGUCAUGUGAUGUCAUGUGUUGUAGAUGUCACAAUAGUCUAGUGCAGCUCGGUCCUUUUAUUUUUUUUUUUUGAUGCAGGGAGAGCAUUUGAAUGUGCACACAGACCUUGCCU